UACGGGGGGGGCAAGCGUUGUUCGGAAUUACUGGGCGUAAAGGGGUUGUAGGCGGCCAACUAAGUCCGACGUGAAAUCCCAAGGCUUAACCUUGGAACUGCGUCGGAUACUGGAUGGCUUGAAUUCGGGAGAGGGAUGCAGAAUUCCAGGUGUAGCGGUGAAAUGCGUAGAUAUCGCUUGGAACGCCAACGGUGAAAACGGGUUGCUGGGGGUGUGCUGACGCUGAGACACGAAAGCCAGGGGAGCGAACGGG
This 253-nucleotide ribosomal RNA is filed under the name uncultured bacterium. RNAcentral's name for it is "partial 16S ribosomal RNA". It matches the Rfam family "Bacterial small subunit ribosomal RNA", at positions 524 to 776 of the family's 1533-position model. The record is from RNAcentral.